GGAUAGAUAUAUAAUGUUGGUUAAACUUUAUUAUUGUUUCCAGAAAUAUGCCAACAGGAGGAAAUGGUUGAUUUAAACUUUCCGAUCUUUGUUGGAAUGUAGCCUGCUGUACAAAGGGACGUUUAGGAAAAUAUCACAUGAGCUGCAUUCCAGCAUCCACUCUAACCUAGAAGAUGAGCCUGAAUUGGAGAAGGGGCUGCUGCUGGGCCAUAAAUCUAGUCACAGAUGGAAAAAGCAGAAUAUUAUUUGCAGCAUGCAGAGCUCUGGCAAUCCCAGCAAGGGACUCGGACCCCGCGGAACACUUAAAUUACAACACUGGGAGGAAUGGUGCUGUGCAGUAACCCGUCUUGGAAGGACACUGAAAAGUUGUUUGCAAGAUUCCAUUUUACGGGCUGACAACACUGAGCAGUAUUCCCCAGAGAUGCCGUAUUUCAUGUUGCCUACAAUG
This is a long non-coding RNA of Rhineura floridana, 448 nucleotides long. RefSeq lists it as uncharacterized. NCBI's taxonomy places the organism in Eukaryota, Metazoa, Chordata, Lepidosauria, Squamata, Rhineuridae. The record is from RefSeq and is a predicted model, not a curated record. The transcript is spliced from 3 exons.